GACGAACGCUGGCGGCGUGCUUAACACAUGCAAGUCGAACGGAAAGGCCUGCUUUCCCUUGUGGAUUGCGGGUACUCGAGUGGCGAACGGGUGAGUAACACGUGAGUGAUCUGCCCCCAACUUGGGUAUAAGCCUGGGAAACUGGGUCUAAUUCCCGAUAGGACUGCAGGGUGGUGCCUGUGGUGGAAAACGAUUUUCUAGUGGUUGGGGAUGAGCUCGCGGCCUAUCAGCUUGUUGGUGGGGUAAUGGCCUACCAAGGCGGCGACGGGUAGCCGGCCUGAGAGGGUGGACGGCCACAUUGGGACUGGGAUACGGCCCAGACUCCUACGGGAGGCAGCAGUGGGGAAUAUUGCACAAUGGGCGGAAGCCUGAUGCAGCGACGCAGCGUGGGGGAUGACGGCAUUCGGGUUGUAAACUCCUUUCGACCGCGAGGAAGCCACCUGGUUGGAAGGGUGGUGACGGUAGUGGUAGAAGAAGCACCGGCUAACUACGUG
This 494-nucleotide ribosomal RNA is filed under the name uncultured bacterium. RNAcentral describes it as "partial 16S ribosomal RNA". It matches the Rfam family "Bacterial small subunit ribosomal RNA", at positions 28 to 507 of the family's 1533-position model. The record is from RNAcentral.